RNAcentral lists this ribosomal RNA (505 nucleotides) under uncultured bacterium. RNAcentral describes it as "partial 16S ribosomal RNA". It matches the Rfam family "Bacterial small subunit ribosomal RNA", at positions 28 to 507 of the family's 1533-position model. The record is from RNAcentral.
GACGAACGCUGGCGGCGUGCCCAAUACAUGCAAGUAGAACGCACAGUUUAUACCGUAGCUUGCUACACCAUAAACUGUGAGUUGCGAACGGGUGAGUAACGCGUAGGUAACCUGCCUGGUAGCGGGGGAUAACUAUUGGAAACGAUAGCUAAUACCGCAUAAUAUUAAUUAUUGCAUGAUAAUUGAUUGAAAGAUGCAAUUGCAUCACUACCAGAUGGACCUGCGUUGUAUUAGCUAGUAGGUGAGGUAACGGCUCACCUAGGCGACGAUACAUAGCCGACCUGAGAGGGUGAUCGGCCACACUGGGACUGAGACACGGCCCAGACUCCUACGGGAGGCAGCAGUAGGGAAGCUUCGGCAAUGGACGAAAGUCUGACCGAGCAACGCCGCGUGAGUGAAGAAGGGUUUCGGAUCGUAAAGCUCUGUUGUAAGAGAAGAACGGGUGUGAGAGUGGAAAGUUCACACUGUGACGGUAUCUUACCAGAAAGGGGCGGCUAACUACGUG